UACAGAGGGUGCUAGCGUUGUUCGGAAUCAUUGGGCGUAAAGGGCGCGUAGGCGGCACGGCAAGUCAGGAGUGAAAGCCCUGGGCUCAACCCGGGAACUGCUUUUGAAACUGCCGAGCUAGAGUGCGGAAGGGGCAACUGGAAUUCCCAGUGUAGCGGUGAAAUGCGUAGAUAUCGGGAGGAACACCUGUGGCGAAGGCGGCCCCCUGGUUGGAUACUGACGCUGAUACGCGAAAGCGUGGGGAGCAAACAGG
Molecule: ribosomal RNA, 253 nt
Filed under: uncultured bacterium
Lineage: Bacteria
Description: partial 16S ribosomal RNA
Rfam family: Bacterial small subunit ribosomal RNA
Source: RNAcentral